RNAcentral lists this long non-coding RNA (426 nucleotides) under Pan troglodytes (chimpanzee). RNAcentral's name for it is "long non-coding RNA NONPTRT000909". The record is from RNAcentral. Lineage: Eukaryota; Metazoa; Chordata; Mammalia; Primates; Hominidae.
GUUGAAUUCACCAAAUAGAAGACACUGGAAAUGAGACCCGAGGGUUGGAGGAGGAGGAAGUUGCUGAUGGGAAGGCAGAAAAGUACAAUGGAAACAGCAUGGGCUCCAGGAAGUCAGCUCUACCACUGACUGGCUGUGUGAUUUUUGGCCUGCAAUGUGAACACGAUGGCUGGAGCUCCGGCAGCCAUUCUGGGCCAGGAGGUAGCCUUGAAGAUGGAAGCCACAUGUUGGGAUGGUGAAUCCAAAAGAUGAGGAGCCUGUAUCCCCUGUGACACCAGAGCUGCCAUACCAGCCCUGGGUUCCUCCAUCUAUACUGCCUUCAUAUGGUAAAGAAAUAUUCUUGGAUCUUGUUAGGUGUCUGUUGCAGCCAAACACAAUCCCAACUGAUAUUCACUGUAAAUGAUUCCAUGGCUCCCUGUAGUACUU